GAGUAUGUAGCCGUGGGCUUUAGCUCUGCAAAGGCUAAUG
RNAcentral lists this transfer RNA (40 nucleotides) under Schizorchis ochotonae. RNAcentral describes it as "tRNA-Cys". Lineage: Eukaryota; Metazoa; Platyhelminthes; Cestoda; Cyclophyllidea; Anoplocephalidae. The record is from RNAcentral.